CCUACGGGAGGCUGCAGUGGGGAAUAUUGGACAAUGGGGGGAACCCUGAUCCAGCGACGCCGCGUGAGUGAAGAAGUAUUUCGGUAUGUAAAGCUCUAUCAGCAGGGAAGAAAGAAAUGACGGUACCUGACUAAGAAGCCCCGGCUAACUACGUGCCAGCAGCCGCGGUAAUACGUAGGGGGCAAGCGUUAUCCGGAUUUACUGGGUGUAAAGGGAGCGUAGACGGCGAUGCAAGUCUGAAGUGAAAGGCGGGGGCUCAACCUCCGGACUGCUUUGGAAACUGUAUGGCUGGAGUGCAGGAGAGGUAAGUGGAAUUCCUAGUGUAGCGGUGAAAUGCGUAGAUAUUAGGAGGAACACCAGUGGCGAAGGCGGCUUACUGGACUGUAACUGACGUUGAGGCUCGAAAGCGUGGGGAGCAAACAGGAUUAGAUACCCGUGUAGUC
Molecule: ribosomal RNA, 443 nt
Filed under: uncultured bacterium
Lineage: Bacteria
Description: partial 16S ribosomal RNA
Rfam family: Bacterial small subunit ribosomal RNA
Source: RNAcentral